GACGAACGCUGGCGGCGUGCUUAACACAUGCAAGUCGAACGGAAAGGCCCUGCUUUUGUGGGGUGCUCGAGUGGCGAACGGGUGAGUAACACGUGAGUAACCUGCCCUUGACUUUGGGAUAACUUCAGGAAACUGGGGCUAAUACCGGAUAGGAGCUCCUGCUGCAUGGUGGGGGUUGGAAAGUUUCGGCGGUUGGGGAUGGACUCGCGGCUUAUCAGCUUGUUGGUGGGGUAGUGGCUUACCAAGGCUUUGACGGGUAGCCGGCCUGAGAGGGUGACCGGCCAAAUGGGAACUGGGAAACGGCCCGGACUCCUACGGGAGGCAGAAGUGGGGAAAAUUGAACAAGGGGCGGAAGCCUGAUGCAGCAACGCCGGGGGCGGGAUGACGGCCUUCGGGUGGUAAACCGCUUUCGCCGGUGACGAAGCGGGGGUGACGGUAAUGGGGAAAGAAGCACCGGCUAACUACGU
This 467-nucleotide ribosomal RNA is filed under the name uncultured bacterium. Its description in RNAcentral is "partial 16S ribosomal RNA". It matches the Rfam family "Bacterial small subunit ribosomal RNA", at positions 28 to 506 of the family's 1533-position model. The record is from RNAcentral.